AAAGUUUGACAGACGAUCGCUGGCGGCUUCGGCCGCGAGAGGAAAGUCCGGGCUCCAUAGGGCGGGAUGCUGGAUAACGUCCAGUCAGCGCGAGCUGAAGGCUAGUGCCACAGAAAUGGACCGCCGAUGGCUGCCGCAGCGCCGCAAGGCUCUGCAGUAUGCACAGGUAAGGGUGGAACCGUGGUGUAAGAGACCACGAGGAGUCAUGGUGACAUGAUUCCUGGUAAACCCCAUUUGGAGCAAGACCUAGAGGAACGCACGUCCCGCGAGGGUCAGCCUUUGCCCGAGGCGCGUUCGGGUUGGUCGCUUGAGCCAUGCAGCAAUGUAUGGCCUAGAUAGAUGAUUGUCGCUUCCGUCGUGGGAGGGUGGCUCCCGUUAUACCACUGGAAGUACAGAACCCGGCUUACGGCAAACUUUCUUU
Molecule: non-coding RNA, 421 nt
Organism: Paenibacillus mucilaginosus 3016
Lineage: Bacteria; Bacillati; Bacillota; Bacilli; Caryophanales; Paenibacillaceae
Rfam family: Bacterial RNase P class A
About the family: Ribonuclease P (RNase P) is a ubiquitous endoribonuclease, found in archaea, bacteria and eukarya as well as chloroplasts and mitochondria.
Source: Rfam